RNAcentral lists this ribosomal RNA (252 nucleotides) under uncultured bacterium. RNAcentral's name for it is "partial 16S ribosomal RNA". It matches the Rfam family "Bacterial small subunit ribosomal RNA", at positions 524 to 776 of the family's 1533-position model. The record is from RNAcentral.
UACAGAGGAUGCAAGCGUUAAUCGGAAUUACUGGGCGUAAAGCGUGCGCAGACGGUUGCGUAAGUCAGAUGUGAAAGCCCCGGGCUCAACCUGGGAAUUGCAUUCGAGACUGUGUAGCUAGGGUGCGGAAGAGGGAAGCGGAAUUUCCGGUGUAGCGGUGAAAUGCGUAGAUAUCGGAAGGAACAUCAGUGGCGAAAGCGGCUUCCUGGUCCAGCACCGACGUCAGGCACGAAAGCGUGGGGAGCAAACAGG